RNAcentral lists this ribosomal RNA (255 nucleotides) under uncultured bacterium. RNAcentral's name for it is "partial 16S ribosomal RNA". It matches the Rfam family "Bacterial small subunit ribosomal RNA", at positions 15 to 280 of the family's 1533-position model. The record is from RNAcentral.
GAUCAUGGCUCAGAACGAACGCUGGCGGCAGGCUUAACACAUGCAAGUUGAACGGGAUUUGUGUGGUGCUUGCACCAUAUAAUGAGAGUAGCGCACUGGUGAGUAACACGUGGGAACGUACCUUUUGGUGGGGGACAACAUCUGGAAACGGAUGCUAAUACCGCAUAAGACCUGAGGGUGAAAGAUUUAUCGCCGAAAGAACGGCCCGCGGAAGAUUAGGCAGUUGGUGGGGUAAAGGCCUACCAAACCUACGAU